GUCCUAGCCCUAAACGAUCAGGACUUGACGUGGGCCCCGUCCGGGGUCCGUGCCGUAGCCAACGUGAUAAGUCCUGCGCCUGGGGAGUACGGUCGCAAGGGCUGAAACUCAAAGGAAUUGAACGGGGGCCCGCACAAGCGGUGGAACAUGUGGUUCAAUUCGACGCAACGCGAAGAACCUUACCUGGGCUCGAAAUGUACCGGACCAGCCGUGGAAACAUGGCCUUCCCGCAAAGGGACCGGUAUAUAAGGUGCUGCAAUGGCUGUCGU
Molecule: ribosomal RNA, 269 nt
Filed under: uncultured bacterium
Lineage: Bacteria
Description: partial 16S ribosomal RNA
Rfam family: Bacterial small subunit ribosomal RNA
Source: RNAcentral